UUUAUAUAUAUAAAUAUAAUAUAAUAUAAUAUAAUAUAAUAUAGAGAGAGAGAGAGAGAGAGAGAGCUAGGCUUAUAUACUAUCAGAACUACGUAGGUCUUCGUGCCAUCAAAUUAUUUAAUGGUGCGGCUUGCAAAUCGAUGAUCGGCUCCGUUUGACUUGAUCUGCACUAUUGAAAGUAUUUAGAAACUAAAUUUCAUAAUUUUUCGGCAUCAUUUACCAAUCAAACAAAUAGUCUAAAAAUGAACGGCUAAAAAUAAAAAUCUCAUAAAAAAUAAUGAUAAAGACUUGAAUUUAAAAUCAGAAAUACUAAUCUUACUCUAAAUAGUAAAAAAAAAAUUCAUACAAAUUUUAUUAGAUUUUGAUUGUUUUAUAUUGUUAAAUUCACAAAUGCAUCACAUCUACUAUUAAAAUUGUCAAAUUUGGGACAUUUUGAUCACUAGUCAAAUAAUGUCGAAAAAUUAUGAAAUUUAGUUUCCAAAUACUUUUAAUAGUGUAGAUCAAGUUUAACGGAGUCGAUCGUCUAUUUGGAAGCCAUAUCAUUGAAUAUAUAAUUUGAUAGCACGGCCUCCGUGCUAUCGAUAGUAUAUCAGUCUAGCUAUAUAUAUAUAUAUAUAUAGUUGAGCUAGUAUACUAUCGAUAGUAAACGAGCCGUAUUAUUACCGAUUUGUUUUCGAUGAUAGAACUUCCAAAUUGACGAUCAGCUCUGUUAAAUAUGAUCUAAAUCAUUUAAACUACCUAGAAAUCAAAUUUCACGCACUUUUGAUAUUGUUCUUUUAUUCAUCAAGUGAACAGAAAAAUGAAUGACUAAAAUUAAAUACUCUUUAAAAUAUGAUGAUAGGAGUUUUGUAAUCAAGAUCAAGAGUAUAGAUCUUAUUUUAAAUAGUUUAAAGAAUUUUCUAACAAAAAUUUAAUUGAUUUGGAUAUCUUUACGCCGUUAAAUGAGAAAACGCUUAUUAUCGACCAUUAAAAUUACAAUUUUUGAAAUCCUUUAAUCAUUAGGCAAAUGAUGUCGAAAAGACUUGAAAUUUGAUUUCUAAACAUUUCAAGUGGUAUAGAUCAUGUUCAACGGAGCCGAUUGUCAAUUUGGAAGCUCUAUCAUCGAAAAUAAAUCGGUAGUAAAACGGCUCAUUUACUAUCGAUAGUAUUCUAGCAAAACUCUAUUUAUAUAUGUAUAUAUAGAGUGCGGCUAGAAUGUUUAUGGAAGCACGGAGGCCUCCGUGCUUUCAAGUUGUUUUCGAUGUUGGGACUUUCGAAUUAACGAUCGGCUCCGUUAGAUUUGAUCUAGAAUAUUUGAAGUACCUAGAAAAUAAAUUUUGCGAUUUUUCGACAUCAUUUGCCUAGUGAUCGAAGGGGCUCAAAAUCAACGGCUAAAAAUAAAAAUCUCACAAAAUAUGAUGAUAUGACAUUAAAAAUUUAGAUCAAAGAUAUUGAUCUUAUUUUAUAUAGUAUAAAGAAUUUUCUAUCAAAAUUUUACUUGAUUUGGAUAUUUCUACACCGUUAAAGUUGCAAACGGCUCACCACGGCCGUUAAAAUUAUUGAUUUUGAGCUCCUUCGAUCACUAGGCAAAUGAUAUCGAAAAAUCACAAAAUUUAUUUUCUAGGUACUUCAAAUACUCUAGAUCAACUCUAACGGAGCCGAUCGUCGAUUCGAAAGUCCAAACAUCGAA
RNAcentral lists this long non-coding RNA (1669 nucleotides) under Ananas comosus (pineapple). RNAcentral's name for it is "long non-coding RNA (ACOM_LNC011224)". Lineage: Eukaryota; Viridiplantae; Streptophyta; Magnoliopsida; Poales; Bromeliaceae. The record is from RNAcentral.